Molecule: unclassified non-coding RNA, 247 nt
Filed under: uncultured fungus
Lineage: Eukaryota; Fungi
Description: sequence contains 5.8S rRNA gene
Rfam family: 5.8S ribosomal RNA (bases 1-53)
Source: RNAcentral
GAACGCACCUUGCGCCUUCUGGUAUUCCGGAAGGCAUGCCUGUUUGAGUGUCAUGAACACCUCACCCCCUCGGGUUUCCGAUUGGGUGGAUUUGGGCGCUGCCAGUCACAUGGCUCGCCUUAAAAGCAUUAGCGGUUGUUGACUUAAUAAGUUUCGUCUUGUCGACCGCUUCUAAUCUCCUUAGGGAUGUCUUCGGACACUUCAUGAUCUGACCUCAAAUCAGGUAGGACUACCCGCUGAACUUAAG